Fukomys damarensis (Damara mole-rat) is the source of this 1050-nucleotide long non-coding RNA. RefSeq lists it as uncharacterized. The record is from RefSeq and is a predicted model, not a curated record. Lineage: Eukaryota; Metazoa; Chordata; Mammalia; Rodentia; Bathyergidae. The transcript is spliced from 4 exons.
GAAGGUUUAUGCCCUCUUGUUCUCUGAGGAUGCAGAGAGCAGUUUUUUGUACUCGCAGUUCUGAUUACACCAGUAAUUGGAAAAUAAUCACAUCCCAAAGGGCCUCAGGGUCUUGAGUGGUACUUGUACUUGGGCACUAACAAAUAUUUCUCCCCUCUGAAGCAGGUAGUUGGGGAAAAUGCAGCACGAAGAGCUUCAGGAUGGGUUUUCCCAGCAGUCGUCCCAUAUCUUCCAUGUUUAGUUGCCAAGGAGGACUGGCAGGGAGCACUUCAGUUCUACGGAGUGGAUAAAUACCUGGAUCCUGGUACUCAGCCAGUUGUUCGGCUUCGGGUUUUGGAAAAAAAAAUAUGAUCGUUUACCUCUUGAAUGGAAACCACCACCUGGUCAUUAAAGCUUCUUCCAAAAGGCACUUACAAGAAAGGUCACAUAGCACAACCAAUUGGGUAAUUUAGCAGGUCUUGACUGGGGAUGCAGAAGGAAUCCGAGUCCUUGAGAUUCCUGUGUACUGUGCUUUCUUGAGCUCACCCUUGAGUCUGUCAACAGCGGUGUUGCCGGCAGCCACUCCUCUCAAUGUUCUGGUGCCCACAAAGAGAAAAGAUGCACAAAAGCACUUUGAAAAGAGAAAACUGCUAUACACAUGCAGGAUACAUGCAGGAAAACACGGAUGAUCGCUCUCCUUGUUGCAUGAGCCAAAGAGGAGGCAUCAAGGCUGAGAGCAUGAAGACAAGUUAAAAGACCAAAAAGUCAUCCAGACAAACUGAGCUGGCACAGCAGCAGAGGAAAUGACAAUAACUAAAGAGACUCCAAGACAGUCGGGAAAGGAACAUGUACAGUUCUUCAGAUGCAUGACUGUGAGGACCAAGAAGAGAGAAAACUAAAGGACAAACUUGGCUGGGGCACCAGGAGAUUCCUCAGCAUAUAUUUUUCUUGGUUUGGGGUAUUUCUAAAACUACCUGGCAACAAAGAAAGAAAAGCACCUUAAACUGAGAUUUAAAAGGCUGCGGAGUCACAAGGAUGCAGAUAAAUUCUUGUUUUCCCAAAACACCAAAU